GGGUUGUAAUUAUUAGAUAAAGAACCAAUAUUUUUGGUGACUCAUAAUAACUUUACGGAUCACAUUAUGUGACAUAUCAUUCAAGUUUCUGACCUAUCAGCUUUAGACGGUAGGGUAUUGGCCUACCGUGGCUAUGACGGGUAACGGGGAAUUAGGGUUCGAUUCCGGAGAGGGAGCCUGAGAAACGGCUACCACAUCUAAGGAAGGCAGCAGGCGCGCAAAUUACCCAAUCCUAAUACAGGGAGGUAGUGACAAGAAAUAACAAUACAGGACCUUACGGUUUUGUAAUUGGAAUGAGUUAAGUAUAAACCCCUUAACAAGUAUCAAUUGGAGGGCAAGUCUGGUGCCAGCAGCCGCGGUAAUUCCAGCUCCAAUAGCGUAUAUUAAAGUUGUUGCAGUUAAAAAGCUCGUAGUUAAUUUUCUGUUAAUUUUUAUAUACAAUACUACGGUAUUUAUAUAAUAUUAACAUAAUUCAUAUUACUUUUUAGUAUAUGAAACUUUACUUUGAGAAAAUUAGAGUGCUUAAAGCAGGCUAUUGCCUUGAAUACUCCAGCAUGGAAUAAUAUUAAGGAUUUUUAUUCUUCUUAUUGGUUCUAGAAUAAAAAUAAUGAUUAAUAGGGACAGUUGGGGGCAUUUGUAUUUAACAGUCAGAGGUGAAAUUCUUAGAUUUGUUAAAGACAAACUACUGCGAAAGCAUUUGCCAAGGAUGUUUUCAUUAAUCAAGAACGAAAGUUAGGGGAUCGAAGACGAUCAGAUACCGUCGUAGUCUUAACCAUAAACUAGGCCAACUAGAGAUUGGAGGUUGUUCCUUACUCCUUUA
Molecule: ribosomal RNA, 820 nt
Filed under: Cryptosporidium sp. deer genotype
Lineage: Eukaryota; Apicomplexa; Conoidasida; Eucoccidiorida; Cryptosporidiidae
Description: SSU rRNA
Rfam family: Eukaryotic small subunit ribosomal RNA
Source: RNAcentral